RNAcentral lists this ribosomal RNA (443 nucleotides) under uncultured bacterium. Its description in RNAcentral is "SSU rRNA". It matches the Rfam family "Bacterial small subunit ribosomal RNA", at positions 26 to 518 of the family's 1533-position model. The record is from RNAcentral.
AGAGCGAACGCUGGCGGCAGGCCUAACACAUGCAAGUCGAGCGCCCCGCAAGGGGAGCGGCAGACGGGAGAGUAACACGUGGGAACGUGCCCUUUGGUUCGGAACAACACAGGGAAACUUGUGCUAAUACCGGAUAAGCCCUUACGGGGAAAGAUUUAUCGCCAAAGGAUCGGCCCGCGUCUGAUUAGCUAGUUGGUGAGGUAACGGCUCACCAAGGCUACGAUCAGUAGCUGGUCUGAGAGGAUGAUCAGCCUCACUGGGACUGAGACACGGCCCAGACUCCUACGGGAGGCAGCAGUGGGGAAUAUUGGACAAUGGGCGCAAGCCUGAUCCAGCCAUGCCGCGUGGGUGAUGAAGGCCCUAGGGUUGUAAAGCCCUUUCGGGCGGGAAGAUAAUGACGGUACCCGCAGAAGAAGCCCGGCUAACUUCGCGCCAGCAGCCGC